GAUGAACGCUAGCGGGAGGCUUAAUACAUGCAAGUCGAGCGAGAAUUUCGAUUUCGGUUGGAAGGAAAGCGGCGAACGGGUGAGUAACGCGUACGCAACUUACCCUUGAGUGUGGAAUAGCCCUGGGAAACUGGGAUUAAUACCGCAUAGUUUGUAGAUCUGGCAUCGGAUUUACAAUAAAGCUUCGGCGCUCAAGGAUAGGCGUGCGUUCCAUUAGCUAGUUGGUGAGGUAACGGCUCACCAAGGCUACGAUGGGUAGGGGGCGUGAGAGCGUGGCCCCCCACACGGGUACUGAGACACGGACCCG
RNAcentral lists this ribosomal RNA (307 nucleotides) under uncultured bacterium. Its description in RNAcentral is "bacterial SSU rRNA". It matches the Rfam family "Bacterial small subunit ribosomal RNA", at positions 28 to 334 of the family's 1533-position model. The record is from RNAcentral.